AUUGACGCUGGCGGCAGGCCUAACACAUGCAAGUCGAGCGGAUGAGUGGAGCUUGCUCCAUGAUUCAGCGGCGGACGGGUGAGUAAUGCCUAGGAAUCUGCCUGGUAGUGGGGGACAACGUUUCGAAAGGAACGCUAAUACCGCAUACGUCCUACGGGAGAAAGUGGGGGAUCUUCGGACCUCACGCUAUCAGAUGAGCCUAGGUCGGAUUAGCUAGUUGGUGAGGUAAAGGCUCACCAAGGCGACGAUCCGUAACUGGUCUGAGAGGAUGAUCAGUCACACUGGAACUGAGACACGGUCCAGACUCCUACGGGAGGCAGCAGUGGGGAAUAUUGGACAAUGGGCGAAAGCCUGAUCCAGCCAUGCCGCGUGUGUGAAGAAGGUCUUCGGAUUGUAAAGCACUUUAAGUUGGGAGGAAGGGCAGUAAGUUAAUACCUUGCUGUUUUGACGUUACCAACAGAAUAAGCACCGGCUAACUUCGUGCCAGCAGCCGCGGUAAUACGAAGGGUGCAAGCGUUAAUCGGAAUUACUGGGCGUAAAGCGCGCGUAGGUGGUUCGUUAAGUUGGAUGUGAAAGCCCCGGGCUCAACCUGGGAACUGCAUCCAAAACUGGCGAGCUAGAGUAUGGCAGAGGGUGGUGGAAUUUCCUGU
RNAcentral lists this ribosomal RNA (650 nucleotides) under Pseudomonas sp. DN-2. RNAcentral describes it as "bacterial SSU rRNA". It matches the Rfam family "Bacterial small subunit ribosomal RNA", at positions 28 to 674 of the family's 1533-position model. Lineage: Bacteria; Pseudomonadati; Pseudomonadota; Gammaproteobacteria; Pseudomonadales; Pseudomonadaceae. The record is from RNAcentral.